AAAGAAGAUGCCAAGCAGAGUUCACUUUACCUCAGAAACUGAGAAAUCCUUUUCGUUAAUCAGUAUGGCCAGGGUUCUACUUUUCUGUACACUUCUCAGUCUCUGUGCAGGUGCCAAUUCACAGCCGUCACUGACUCAACCUGCCUCCCAGUCUGUGUCUCCUGGACAAACAACGACCCUUUCCUGCUUGAAAGGCAGUGGCAGCUGGGGUAGCACUGUUUACUGGCUU
Molecule: non-coding RNA, 229 nt
Organism: Pogona vitticeps (central bearded dragon)
Lineage: Eukaryota; Metazoa; Chordata; Lepidosauria; Squamata; Agamidae
Source: RefSeq, a predicted model, not a curated record